GGUUAAGCGACUAAGCGUACACGGUGGAUGCCCUGGCAGUCAGAGGCGAUGAAGGACGUGCUAAUCUGCGAUAAGCGUCGGUAAGGUGAUAUGAACCGUUAUAACCGGCGAUUUCCGAAUGGGGAAACCCAGUGUGAUUCGUCACACUAUCAUUAACUGAAUCCAUAGGUUAAUGAGGCGAACCGGGGGAACUGAAACAUCUAAGUACCCCGAGGAAAAGAAAUCAACCGAGAUUCCCCCAGUAGCGGCGAGCGAACGGGGAGCAGCCCAGAGCCUGAAUCAGUGUGUGUGUUAGUGGAAGCGUCUGGAAAGGCGCGCGAUACAGGGUGACAGCCCCGUACACAAAAAUGCACAUGCUGUGAGCUCGAUGAGUAGGGCGGGACACGUGGUAUCCUGUCUGAAUAUGGGGGGACCAUCCUCCAAGGCUAAAUACUCCUGACUGACCGAUAGUGAACCAGUACCGUGAGGGAAAGGCGAAAAGAACCCCGGCGAGGGGAGUGAAAAAGAACCUGAAACCGUGUACGUACAAGCAGUGGGAGCACAGAGCAAUCUGUGUGACUGCGUACCUUUUGUAUAAUGGGUCAGCGACUUAUAUUCUGUAGCAAGGUUAACCGAAUAGGGGAGCCGAAGGGAAACCGAGUCUUAACUGGGCGUUAAGUUGCAGGGUAUAGACCCGAAACCCGGUGAUCUAGCCAUGGGCAGGUUGAAGGUUGGGUAACACUAACUGGAGGACCGAACCGACUAAUGUUGAAAAAUUAGCGGAUGACUUGUGGCUGGGGGUGAAAGGCCAAUCAAACCGGGAGAUAGCUGGUUCUCCCCGAAAGCUAUUUAGGUAGCGCCUCGUGAAUUCAUCUCCGGGGGUAGAGCACUGUUUCGGCAAGGGGGUCAUCCCGACUUACCAACCCGAUGCAAACUGCGAAUACCGGAGAAUGUUAUCACGGGAGACACACGGCGGGUGCUAACGUCCGUCGUGAAGAGGGAAACAACCCAGACCGCCAGCUAAGGUCCCAAAGUCAUGGUUAAGUGGGAAACGAUGUGGGAAGGCCCAGACAGCCAGGAUGUUGGCUUAGAAGCAGCCAUCAUUUAAAGAAAGCGUAAUAGCUCACUGGUCGAGUCGGCCUGCGCGGAAGAUGUAACGGGGCUAAACCAUGCACCGAAGCUGCGGCAGCGACGCUGAUGCGUUGUUGGGUAGGGGAGCGUUCUGUAAGCCUGCGAAGGUGUGCUGUGAGGCAUGCUGGAGGUAUCAGAAGUGCGAAUGCUGACAUAAGUAACGAUAAAGCGGGUGAAAAGCCCGCUCGCCGGAAGACCAAGGGUUCCUGUCCAACGUUAAUCGGGGCAGGGUGAGUCGACCCCUAAGGCGAGGCCGAAAGGCGUAGUCGAUGGGAAACAGGUUAAUAUUCCUGUACUUGGUGUUACUGCGAAGGGGGGACGGAGAAGGCUAUGUUGGCCGGGCGACGGUUGUCCCGGUUUAAGCGUGUAGGCUGGUUUUCCAGGCAAAUCCGGAAAAUCAAGGCUGAGGCGUGAUGACGAGGCACUACGGUGCUGAAGCAACAAAUGCCCUGCUUCCAGGAAAAGCCUCUAAGCAUCAGGUAACAUCAAAUCGUACCCCAAACCGACACAGGUGGUCAGGUAGAGAAUACCAAGGCGCUUGAGAGAACUCGGGUGAAGGAACUAGGCAAAAUGGUGCCGUAACUUCGGGAGAAGGCACGCUGAUAUGUAGGUGAAGCGACUUGCUCGUGGAGCUGAAAUCAGUCGAAGAUACCAGCUGGCUGCAACUGUUUAUUAAAAACACAGCACUGUGCAAACACGAAAGUGGACGUAUACGGUGUGACGCCUGCCCGGUGCCGGAAGGUUAAUUGAUGGGGUUAGCGCAAGCGAAGCUCUUGAUCGAAGCCCCGGUAAACGGCGGCCGUAACUAUAACGGUCCUAAGGUAGCGAAAUUCCUUGUCGGGUAAGUUCCGACCUGCACGAAUGGCGUAAUGAUGGCCAGGCUGUCUCCACCCGAGACUCAGUGAAAUUGAACUCGCUGUGAAGAUGCAGUGUACCCGCGGCAAGACGGAAAGACCCCGUGAACCUUUACUAUAGCUUGACACUGAACAUUGAGCCUUGAUGUGUAGGAUAGGUGGGAGGCUUUGAAGUGUGGACGCCAGUCUGCAUGGAGCCGACCUUGAAAUACCACCCUUUAAUGUUUGAUGUUCUAACGUGGACCCGUAAUCCGGGUUGCGGACAGUGUCUGGUGGGUAGUUUGACUGGGGCGGUCUCCUCCUAAAGAGUAACGGAGGAGCACGAAGGUUGGCUAAUCCUGGUCGGACAUCAGGAGGUUAGUGCAAUGGCAUAAGCCAGCUUGACUGCGAGCGUGACGGCGCGAGCAGGUGCGAAAGCAGGUCAUAGUGAUCCGGUGGUUCUGAAUGGAAGGGCCAUCGCUCAACGGAUAAAAGGUACUCCGGGGAUAACAGGCUGAUACCGCCCAAGAGUUCAUAUCGACGGCGGUGUUUGGCACCUCGAUGUCGGCUCAUCACAUCCUGGGGCUGAAGUAGGUCCCAAGGGUAUGGCUGUUCGCCAUUUAAAGUGGUACGCGAGCUGGGUUUAGAACGUCGUGAGACAGUUCGGUCCCUAUCUGCCGUGGGCGCUGGAGAACUGAGGGGGGCUGCUCCUAGUACGAGAGGACCGGAGUGGACGCAUCACUGGUGUUCGGGUUGUCAUGCCAAUGGCACUGCCCGGUAGCUAAAUGCGGAAGAGAUAAGUGCUGAAAGCAUCUAAGCACGAAACUUGCCCCGAGAUGAGUUCUCCCUGACUCCUUGAGAGUCCUGAAGGAACGUUGAAGACGACGACGUUGAUAGGCCGGGUGUGUAAGCGCAGCGAUGCGUUGAGCUAACCGGUACUAAUGAACCGUGAGGCUUAACCUU
Molecule: ribosomal RNA, 2906 nt
Filed under: Escherichia coli
Lineage: Bacteria; Pseudomonadati; Pseudomonadota; Gammaproteobacteria; Enterobacterales; Enterobacteriaceae
Description: 23S ribosomal RNA
Rfam family: Bacterial large subunit ribosomal RNA
Source: RNAcentral